AUGCAAGUCGAACGAUAAGGUCUCUUCGGAGAUACAUAAGUGGCGGACGGGUGAGUAAAAUGUAGAGAAUCUGCCCUAGAGUGGGGGACAACAGAGGGAAACUUCUGCUAAUACCCCAUAUGCGCGUAGCUGAGAUGCUAUUCGUGAAAACUCCGGUGCUCUGGGAUGAGUCUGCAUCUGAUUAGCUAGUAGGCGGUGUAAUGGACCACCUAGGCGACGAUCAGUAGCUGGUUUGAGAGGAUGAUCAGCCACAAUGGGACUGAGACACGGCCCAUACUCCUACGGGAGGCAGCAGUAGGGAAUUUUGCGCAAUGGGGGAAACCCUGACGCAGCAACGCCGCGUGACCGAUGAAGCCCUUCGGGGUGUAAAGGUCUGUCAGUGGGGACGAAACUUGACGGUACCCACAGAGGAAGCAUCGGCUAACUCCGUGCCAGCCGCAGC
RNAcentral lists this ribosomal RNA (442 nucleotides) under uncultured bacterium. RNAcentral's name for it is "bacterial SSU rRNA". It matches the Rfam family "Bacterial small subunit ribosomal RNA", at positions 55 to 518 of the family's 1533-position model. The record is from RNAcentral.